RNAcentral lists this long non-coding RNA (800 nucleotides) under Coccomyxa subellipsoidea. RNAcentral's name for it is "long non-coding RNA (CSUB_LNC000725)". The record is from RNAcentral. Lineage: Eukaryota; Viridiplantae; Chlorophyta; Trebouxiophyceae; Coccomyxaceae.
GUGACCACCGAGCAGUAUGGAUCUAUUACAGGCCAAAAGAGUUCAUCGCUGCACAGGGAUGCACUGAUGCAAGUUCACACCAGCGAGACAUGUAGUGCGCUCAGUCAACUUCCUGAUUGCCUGGAUCCAGCAAACACAUCCGGCAGCAAUGUCAAGACAAUGCACGGUGAUCCCAGGUACUCUCAGCAUAGCUGCGAGAGCCACUCAUGCAGCUGGAUGCAUUGUUGCCGCGAAUGUGAAGUAAAUUGCGCCGACUCACCUGGCAAACUGGGCAAUUGUAAAUGGGAGGCGACAGUGCUACAGUAUGUGGCUCUGUGCCACAGAUGCAAGGUAAAAAAAGGCAAUCCAUGUGCUGCGCUCCUUUCCCCCAAGCGGCUGUCAGAUGUCCAGGAGCUUCCAGUAGUUUCCUCUCCAAAGGUUGGGUAAAUGCUGUCAACCUGAUAGGACGUGUAAUAACACAUAUAUGGUAUUGUUUCGUUAUACGACAGUUCGUUCACCGGAUCAUGUCAGCAAAAGAACCGUUGCCAUCAGCAAGGACUGUCGUUCCGUGAUUGGCAUUUGCGGUCAGUACCCAGUCCAUGAUCCUGCAAGUAUUAAUAGCACAUCGCAAGCAAAUGACGGGCUCAUCGAAGCAAAAAAAGCCAGUAAUUACCUUCCAAGGUUAAGACUGGGUCACAGACUGCUAUUCUAGAUAUGUCCUUCCACCGACCAAGUGCAGCUCCGACAGAGGUAUUGACCAGAUACAGGACUGAUCCACAUAGUUCUGUUAAUUUACUUGAGACUUGAUCAAACCAAGGUGA